Bos taurus (domestic cattle) is the source of this 73-nucleotide non-coding RNA. Lineage: Eukaryota; Metazoa; Chordata; Mammalia; Artiodactyla; Bovidae. The record is from Rfam.
UUCCUGGUGGUCCAAUGGCUAAGACUCUGCUUUCCCAAUGCAGAGGUCUCAGGUUCAAAUCCUGAUCAGGGGA